UUGUAUGAUGAAAUCAAGCCCUUAAAUAUAAUAUUUAAAACUUUUUAAUGUGAUGUCUAAGGAUCCUUGGUUGUGAUGUCUAGGUUUUUGUUCUUCAAUUUCAAAGUAGACAAAUCAAUGUAAUCUGUCCUACAUCAAUGCAGGCCCCAACUCAGGAGACACCGCGAGGUCAUUGAGGUGGUUUAGUCAUAUAAUAUAAGCGGCCUAGCCACUUCAAUAACUUUUCAAGAUUGAACCCAAGCGCAAACCUCGCCCACUUAACAAGUGGAAAGCAAGCACUUUAGCCAAACUCACUAGUUUUAAUGUUUAUUGGCAACAAGCUAUUUACUAUUUAUUAACUUUUUUAUUGCUAACAAAACAUUUAUUGCAAGGUCCUUCUAGAGACUUCAGCAUUUUGUUUAAAUUGAAGACUAAACUUGCUCUUACAGGGCGAAAAGGUUUUUUUAAUAAAUGGACUCGGUGUCAUGAUGUUUACCCACCCUCCUCCAUUAAAGCUUUCUUUGAAAAAAAGAGAAAAAAGAAACGGAGUCCCAAAUCAUCAUCCCAUUUUUAACUUAAAUAGGACAUGUUGGUGUUCAAGACUUUGAAACCAACUGCUGAAAAUUGGAUCAUAGAAUUCAAUUUAAACCAACAAUUUAUGCUUGCAGUUUUAUACAAGUGACUCAAUUAAGGGCCACAAUUUUUCAACAUCAAGCAAGGUCAAGAAAAAAUUAGGCCAAAAGCUGGUUCGAACAUGGCAUGAAACUACCAACAAGUCAGUAAACAAACAACUACAUUCCCUUAUGCAUUACCACAAUAUGACUGCCAUCGCCAUAUAUCUGAGAUGAGCUUUCAUGGAGCUCCUCCGUCAGUUUUAGCUGACCCAAAAAUAACACAGAAGAACUAUCACUUAGCAACCAUGAAAGAGUAGUAAAAUUGCUAAUAACAAAAAAAAUAUUUUAAUUAUUUUGCCAUAGUAGUUAUCACCUGCUGCCUCAGAUACGUGAUAUCCUCAAAGCUGGAAGAAAAAAUUAGUUCCAUCUUCUUCCAAAAUGAAUUAGAACAGGCAAGAUCUGGAUGGAAAUUGGGAGCGAAAUACCUUAACAGAAGCAUAUACA
RNAcentral lists this long non-coding RNA (1097 nucleotides) under Carica papaya (papaya). RNAcentral describes it as "long non-coding RNA (CPAP_LNC014022)". The record is from RNAcentral. Lineage: Eukaryota; Viridiplantae; Streptophyta; Magnoliopsida; Brassicales; Caricaceae.